RNAcentral lists this ribosomal RNA (253 nucleotides) under uncultured bacterium. RNAcentral describes it as "partial 16S ribosomal RNA". It matches the Rfam family "Bacterial small subunit ribosomal RNA", at positions 524 to 776 of the family's 1533-position model. The record is from RNAcentral.
UACGUAGGGUGCAAGCGUUAACCGGAAUUACUGGGCGUAAAGCGCGCGCAGGCGGUUUGGUAAGACAGGCGUGAAAUCCCCGGGCUCAACCUGGGAAUUGCGCUUGUGACUGCAAAGCUUGAGUGCGGCAGAGGGGGAUGGAAUUCCGCGUGUAGCAGUGAAAUGCGUAGAUAUGCGGAGGAACACCGAUGGCGAAGGCAAUCCCCUGGGCCUGCACUGACGCUGAUGCACGAAAGCGUGGGGAGCAAACAGG